AGUAAUAAAGCCUUUAAAGAGAGAAGUAAAAUAAUAAUAAAAAAAGCCAUGUAGAGAUGGGAAAUACACAGGGAGCCUGAAUCCUGUAUGUUAUUGUGUUGAUUUUGAUUUUUUUUGAUUAUUGAUAAGCAAACAACAGCUGCUGGCAGACAUAGAAUUGUGAAUAUGACUGCAAAAUUGAGCCAACCUAGAUACUUGAGGGCUAUCUUAACUUUAAAAAAGAAGUCAAAAAUGUAUUUUUCAAAUGGAAAUCAAAAGUGCUUUGGAGUUUUGUUCCCACAGGAGAUGGGAGGUUGUGGAUUCCUUCAGGAAUAUGGAUCAGAAGUGAUCAAGGGAGACCUCCUGAAUCUUGACAGGGCCUUUGCACUUCUGUUCCUUCCACAUGGACGAUGCUUCCUCAGGAACUUCCUUAAAGUUGCCCGGCUUACUCCUUCACCUUCUUCAGGUCACUGGCUGCAACUGGGAUUCCUCAGAAAAGAGUUCCUUCAUCGGUCUAGUGCUUUAUCACCACCAAAGACAGAAUCCAGCUGAAUACAAAAGAGUCACCAUAACAGUUGAAUAGAAAUUAGAGCCACGUUUUGAGCCUCCACAUCCUUUACUUACCAGAUUCUGCAGAAGAAGGAUUUCACUGGUGUAUAUUCAUACUGUGAAGCUAGAAAGAAAGAAAAAUGGUCACAUGCCCCUCCCAGGGCAGCUCCUCAGUGAAGCAGUCCUGUGUGAGACUCUGAGCUUCCCUUCACCUAACCCCUCAGACUUUCCUUACCCUCCAGCUAAGCACAUCCACUAUUUCUAAUGUCACCAUGAUGAUCUGAUGAUAACUAUUUUUGGGGCUAACAGUCUGGUCCACUCUAACAGUGUGAGGAAGUUUGGAGUACUUUCAGAUUUCAGUUCUCUGAUGUUUAAACGAGACUGGUCUCCUUCACUUCAGUUCAUCCUU
Long non-coding RNA from Peromyscus eremicus (cactus mouse), 937 nucleotides. RefSeq lists it as uncharacterized. Lineage: Eukaryota; Metazoa; Chordata; Mammalia; Rodentia; Cricetidae. The transcript has 3 exons. The record is from RefSeq and is a predicted model, not a curated record.